Molecule: long non-coding RNA, 10600 nt
Organism: Homo sapiens (human)
Lineage: Eukaryota; Metazoa; Chordata; Mammalia; Primates; Hominidae
Exons: 3
Source: RefSeq, a predicted model, not a curated record
GAUAUUUAACUUUAAUCAAUUGAACCAAUAAUGUUGCUUAUCCUCUUUGCCUCCUCUUCCCCAGCUCAGGAUCUAUUUCAGGAUCAUGCAAUGCAUUCUGUUGUCAUGUCUCUUUACUUUCUUUACUCUGGAACAGUUCCUUGGCCUUUCUUGACUUUGACAUUUUUGAAGAGUAUGGACCAGUUAUUUUGUAAAAUAUGCCUCAGUUUGGAUUGAGAUGCAGUUUAUUCAUGUUUAGAUUCAGGAAAAGCUAUUGAUUUCCAUAUGUUGAAUUUUUAAAAAAUAAAUGCUGUUUAUUUGGUAGACAUUUGCUUUCUAAAAAUGGCGUCCAAAACCCCCCAUAAAAUCAACAAAGGAUUUCUUGGUUGUAACAAGGUUGAUGCCUCUCAAUAGAGUGUAGUCUCCUCAUUUUUUGGGUCUGAUAUUCUGGAAAAAGACUAUCAGGGGGAAUGAAUAUAUUGAUUUUCAUAAUGUGCUACUAACUACAUUAUUCUAUUAUCUGUGGUAAGUUUUUUUCUAAAUUCCCUUGGGUUUUCUACAUAUAGAAUCAGACCAUCUGCAUAUAGAGGUUGUCUUACCUCUUCCUUUCCAAUUCUCAUGUCUCUGUUUGUUGUCAGAAAUCUAUAGGGGUAUUUGGAUUUUGGCCUCUAGUUAAUGCUUAAUUAUUUUCUGAUGGGCUCUGACUGCUGAUUUACUGCUUGAGAGGGACUGAAUAUUUCCAGGAGAAAUUUGCUUUUCCUAUAGGGUGUAUAUAGGCAGGCAGUGGUGGUGGCUGGUAAGAUGGUGAACACUGUGCUUAUCCAAAUCCCCAAAUAAAACAGAAUUCAAUGGGAGAAGAGUAGGAUUAUUUGCUACAAAGCACGGAGAUGUGUUCUGUAAUCAUGGAAACAUUCAGUGAGGGCGCACUGUGUGCUACAGCUUGUGCUAGGCAGUAGAUUACCAUUUGGGGGAAAAUUCAUUUAUACUCCAUUUCAUAUCAGAGGUGAAUUAUUCCGGAUGUAGUAAAUGGCCAAAUAUAUAAGAAUUCAAUCAAACACAAACAUAUAAGCAAAAAACAUAAAAUUUCUGGUGUUUAGGGGAAAGCAAGGAAGGUUACAAAUGAUUGCAGGAAUCACAAGAACAAAGACUGGCAGAUUUUACCACAUAAAAAUUAAAAUUGUUUUUGCAUAACCAAAAUGGAAAGGCAAACUAUCAGAUAGGGUAAGAAUAAAGAGUUAAUAUUUAUUUGGAAGAAAUACACAUUAGAGCCUUAAUGAGGUAUAGUAUUUUGCUUAUUAACGCUAAUGUGUGUGUGUGUGUGUGUGUGUGUGUGAAAGACAGAGAGAGAAAGAGGGAGAAAUGUUACUUAUAAAUGUAAAACUACAUGGCUAUACUGAAAACCAAAAGGAAAAGUUCAAAGGAGCAAGAAUGAGAAAGAACCUUGAGUGGUCAGGAAGGGAUGAAGCCAUUUGGCCAAUGAAAGCUGGUACAAGGGCUGGGGUGUGAAAGCCUGCAGAGAAGCAGGAGUUGAGCUUGCCUCAGGCUUGGUGGGGAGGUACCCACUGUCAGACCACAUUGCCACAUAGUUCAAACCAGUGGUUCUCAAAGUGUGGUCCCUGAAGCAGUGGCAUCUGCAUGGCCCAGAAAUUUUUUACAAAUGCAAAUUCUUGGGUCACAUCCCAGACCUACCGAAUCAGAAACUCUGGGGAUGGAGUCCAGCAAUCUGUUUUUUAAUGAGGUGAUUUCAUUGCAUGCUAGAGUUUGAGAACUGCCAACUUAAACUUAGCUCAGAGAGGAGAUUUUAAUAAUUACUAUUAAUUUCAUGAAUUUAUUCAACAAGUAUUUAUUGAGUGCCUGUUGUGUGCCAGGCAUUGUUCUAGGCUCUAGGGAUACAGAGGGGAACAAGACCAUUAAAGUCCUCAUUUUAGUAGUAUAUCAUAAGCUUUUAGCAUCUUCUUCCAGUAGUUCCCAUGUGUCUUGUAUUAUUUAAUUAUUAAAUAUCUGUCCAGUUGGUCAAGGCCUAUAUCCUGAGCAUUCUCCUUUUCUUCUCACAUGCCACCCCAGGAAAUCUUGUUGCCUCUUCCCUCAAAAUACAUCCAGAACUUGUCCUCUUUUAUCACCUCCACCGCCCUGACCUUGGCCCAAGCCUCUAUUAUCCACAAUAAUUGAGAUGCUCUCAAGCUGGGCCAGUGGCCAACUGCAGAACGGAGAGUGGCCGAGCAGGGAAGGUCAUAGAAGGCACAGGAUGGGGAAGGACACUGGAGACCAGGUUCCUGUAGGGUAAGUUGUAAUCACUGGAACCACUGAGCCUGGAGAAGGUGAGAUCUUUCCGAAGGGAACGGAAAGUGGAGUCAGUUGGAUCUGGGAUAUCUGGGUCUUCCCGGCCACGUGGCCUUGGGCAAGUCAUGUGAGUUCUCUGGGCAUGUAAAAUGAAGAUGAAAAUAUGCAUUUUGCAAGGCUAUCAUAAAUAUUAGUAGUAAUAAUAACAGGCAGAUACUGAGUGCUUAUCAUAUCUUAGAUACUAUUCCAGGUGCUAAGUCUGUACUAACUCAUCUAAACCUCACAACAUCCCCGAGUCCGAUGUCAUCCCUAUCCCCAUUUUACUGAUGAGAAAAUGUAGGUAAAAAGAGGUUCAAUAACUUGCUCAAGGUCAUAUGGCUACAACAUGUUAGAACCAGACUUGGCACUUAGGCCUCUGGCCCCAGAACCUAUAUAUUUAACCUCUCUGCAGGCCAUAUUAAUGUCCUGUGGCUAUUGUAACAAAUUACCACAAGCUUCGUGGCUUAAAACAACACAGAUUUAUAAGCUUACAAUUCUGGAGAUUAGAAGUCCUAAAUCUAAGGUGCUAGCAGGGCUGCAUUCCUUUUGGAGACUCCAGGGAGAAUCUGUUUCCUUGUCUUUUCCAGCUUCCAGAGACCACCUGCAUUUGUUGGUUGAUAGCCUCUUCCUCGAAUCACCCUGAUCCUCUGCUUCUGUGGCCACAUUUUCAUCUCUCCAAAUCUGAGUCUUCUGCCUGUCUCCUCUAGGGACCCUUGAGAUGACUUUGGGCCCAUCCAGAUCAUCCAAGAUAAUCUCCCCUUCUCAAGUUUCUUAAUCACUUCGGCAAGGUCUUUUUUGCCACAUAAAGUAAUAUUUGCACUGGGUUCAGGAAUCAGGAUGUGGGCAUCUUUGUGGGGGGAGUCACUAUUCCACCUACCACACAGAGCCCCUUCAACAAGUGAGAUUAGAUGAGAAAAUGUUGGUGAAGCACUGAGCCCAGAGAUAGAGCAUAGUAGGUGUGGAUGCUGGUGAUAGUGAAGGGGUGAAUGGCUGACAAAGACCAGGUGACUAAUUUCACAGCUGCCAGAAAUCAGCCUCCAGGGACACACAAGGAGCUUUGCCACACGCUGAAUCAGAUAAGGCCUCUGACUUUGUUUUGCCCCAGAAGCAGACCUCAAGAAGAGGACUCCAGUGCAAGUAGUUUAUUUAGAAGGCAAGCCCACAAAAAGUGGGAAAGCGAGACAGGCAAGGCAAGGCAAGGAAACCAAUGGAGAAUGCCAUGAAGCUAGUUACCACCAUAGGCAGGUGGAGCUUAAUCCCACUGGGGAAUUGUGGAAAACAGUGUGGAGCUCUGCACCUCAGAGUUAACCUACCUGAGAGGUGACAGGGCUGGGGUAUGGAUGCACCAAUUCCCUUCAGUCUGUUGCAAGUUGUUCCAGGGAGGGGGAGAGUGGAGUUAAUUCACCUACACACCCAUCUGCACACACAUAUAUAAAGCAGGCUCUGCUAUUUACAAUAGCAAAGACUUGGAACCAACCCAAAUGCCCAUCAAUGAUAGACUGGAUAAAGAAAAGGUGGCACAUAUACACCAUGGAAUACUAUGCAGCCAUAAAAAAGAAUGAGUUCAUGUCCUUUGCGGGGACAUGAAUGAAGUUGGAAAUCAUCAUCCUCAGCAAACUAACACAGGAACAUAAAACCAAACACUGCAUGUUCUCACUCAUAAGUGGGAGCUGAACAAUGAUAACACAUGGACAUAGGGAGGGGAAUAUCACACACUGAAGCCUGUCAGGGGGUGGGAGGAAAGGGAAGGGAGAGCAUUAGGACAAAUACCUAAUGCAUGCAGGCCUUAAAACCUAGAUGAUUGGUUGAAAGGUGCAGCAAACCACCAUGGCACAUGUAUACCUAUGUAACAAACCUGCACAUUCAGCACAUGUAUCCCAGAACUUAAAGUAAAAUAAAAUAAGUAAUGAUAGAAAAAAAAUUAAAAAGUAAAGCAGGCUCUGAUGGCCAGAGAAUGCCUACCUGCAAAUAUCCAUAGGUGCUGGCAACUGGAAGUCUGGCUGCGUGCACUGAAAUGGCAAAGAUAGGGGUGCUGCGGCCAGGUACUGGUGGUGUCUGCUACCCCACCUUGAGCCUAUAGUCUUCAUUUCUUGUGGACACUAUCCACAGGCCAAGAUAAUGCAGAAAGAUGAGAAAAUCAAGGAGUCAGCGUCUGCCCAAAGUGAAGGUAAGAGGAUGGCUUGGAAUUCACAGCUGGCAACUGAAGCUGUUGAAAGACAUCACCUUAAUGUUGCUCUCCAGGGCUUGCAGCCCUCUUAGGACAGGUGCUGUCUGCAGGGCGGCCUUGCGGUGACAGUGGUCGCCCCGCUGAAUCCCCAAUGCUGUCUUAUAUUGCCACUUUCCUGGGAGGCUGUCAUCCAUCUCUGAUUUAGACUACCCCGAGGUCUUACGGUUAAGCUGUUGAGUAGGUUUUGUCAUUCUGUAUUAUUUUCCUUUGUACUUUUUGUUCAGGAAGGUUCCUGGCUGUCUUUGGUGUAGUUUGUAUCAUAUCUUCCAAUAAAAUAAACACAUCUCUCUAUAACCUGCCAUCCAUGCAUCGUCACCCCUCUUCCUUUCCUCACCCCGGUGCAAUCUGGCUUUUCCCCUGCCUCUCUGGGGAAAUGGCUCUCCCUAAGGUCACCAAUGGAUUCCAAAUUCCCAAACCUAAUGGAAUGUCUUAGUCAAGCUCCAGUCAGCUUUUGAUGCUGUCAAAUGCUGCAGUGCUGGCUGGUGUUUCCCCCCAUUCUCCCUCCUUGAGGCUCUGUAUUUCCUGGGUUUCCAUGCAUGACACUUCACUGGUUUGCUGGCUGCUAGACUAUUUCUGUCCCCUUCACUGAGUUAUCUUCCUUUGGUUGUCACUUAAUGUCAGUUCCCAUGGGGUUUCAGCAUUGUCUCUCUUCUCUUCUCCCACUUCGCACUCUCCUGGGGUGAUCUCAGCCAAAUCCACAGAUUCAGUGGCUAUUCACCUACAAUGCCCAGAUCCCCAGCUGUCCCCCAAGCCACCCUCCUGACACCUAGAUCCAAAUGGUCCUCCCCCCCUCGCAGGUCAGUUCCACAUAAAUGUCACAUUCAACAGGCUCAAAUCUGACCUCAUCUUCCUGGGAAAACCAGCUCUUCCUCCCGCAUGGCCCAUCUGGGUGAAUGGUACCCUCCCAUCCCCAUCGUUGUCAAGCCAUAUUGGGGCCUCAUCCUAAGUCCUACCUCUCCUUCAUCUGCCACAUCAAGUCCCUUAUCAGUCAUAUCUUUGUUAUUUCCCCUUAACCAGCUCCCACCUGUCCUCUGCUGCCCAGGUCUCUCAUCUGUGGUUCAGGCCUCCACUGGCCAGGGCAAGAGUUUCCCAGCGUGUUCUUCUGUAGCUGGGAUCAGCCAGGAUCAUCUAAUCACAAUCCUGUCAUUUUACAGGGCCAGAAAUUUGCCUGCUGAGGGGAAGGUGCAGGCUGGGUACCCAGGCCUCCUGGCCCAUGAUGAAAUGGAGGUUGAAGCCAGACAGGCCUGCGCGCAAAGCCUCCCUCCCCUCUGUGCCAACCUGUGUUAGUUUCCAGUUGUUGCUAUAACAAAUUACCACCAACUGGCCUAACACAACACACAUUUAUUAUCUUACAGCUCUGGAGCUCAAAAGUCCAAAAUGGGUCUUACAGGAUUAAAAUCAAGCUGCCAGUGGGGCUGGUUCCUUGACGGGGCUCGAGGAGGAAACAUGCUUUCUUGCCUUUUCCAGCUCCUAGAGGCUGCCUGCAUUCCUUGGCUGGUGGCCCCUCCCACUCCAGUAUCACCCCAACCUCUGCUUCCAUUGUCGUGUCUGUUUCUCUGACUCUGGCCCUCCUGCCUUGCUCUUGAAAGGAUCCUUGGAUUACAUUGGGCCCACCCAAACAAUCCAUGAAAACCUCCUCAUCUGAGGAUCCUUAACUCAGUCACCCCUGCAAAGUCCCUUUUUAAAUAAGUUUUUGGGAUUAGAAUGUGGACAUUUUAGGGGGAUCAUUAUUCAGCCUACCCUCCUAGCUGUGCCCCCUAAGAAAGUUGCUUAACCUCUCUGAGGUUCUGGUCUCUCAUCUAUAGAAUGGGAGUAAUUUUUUCCACCCACAGAGAUAGAGUGAGGAACAAAGAAGAGAAUACAUCUCAUGUCCCAGCCUCUUCCUCCCAGUCCUCAUUGGUGCUAGCUAGGAUAGGAUCAGGAUCCAGCUAUCCUCCCUACAACUUCCAAGUUUCAGGAAUCUUCUCUAAAACUUCAACUGUCAUUUGUCAUAGGAAAGAGAUGCCAUGCUAGUCUGAAUCUACUGGGACAGCUCUGUAUCUGAGGCCUGGGUGCAAGGCAACUUGGCUGCUGAAUUAGGGAAGAGAUAAAAGAAGAAUAAGAAUGGCGUGUGGGAGGAUUACUCUUCCUGGCCCUGUUUAAGUGAGGUCUGGCCAAGUGAUUUGUCUUCACAAAUGAAAGAAAAGUAAAAAGAACAUGUCACUUCCAGGCAGAAUGUCUGAAAGCCAGUGGACAGUCUGCCUUGAUCCAUUGUCCUGCCUCAGAGGUCAUGGAAAUAUAUGUCAAGACUCAGUCGCUGUCAGCCUGGAUUCCCCAGUGACUACAACACUGCCAACCUCCCUGGGCAUGUAGGGGGAGAGAAAAAUAAGCUUCCAUUGUAUGAAGCUAAGAGAUCCGGAGGGUUAUUUCUUCCUGUAGCACACUCUGACUAAUAGAGUAGCUAGCAGCUAGGAGGUUUUUAAAUAUCUUUAUUUAGCAAAAUGAAAUGGUGCCAAUCUUACGUUGAUAUGAUUUUUUUUUCUUUUGAUAUUUAAUUGCCCCGGGAAGUAUGAUGCCUUGGACAUUCUGACACUGAUAACUGGAGUGUGGGGAGGUGUCCGGUUUAACACGGGUAAUAGUUCUCAGGACAGGGGCCACAAUAUGGGACCCCUCAGCCCCAAUUCAACCAGAGUCACACCUGUUUUAUCUGCAUAAUGAAUAAAUGAACAAGCAUACUGGGGUCUGCACAAGAUUUCACAUCAGGAAAGGGUUUUAUAGCUGAAAAAGAAAAAGUUAAAAGUUGUGCAGCAAAGACUAUGCUAAGCCCUGGGAAUGUGGUAAAGAAUGAGACAGACACAGGCUGCAUAUUGGCUAUGACUUUCAGCUUUGCGGGGCAUGGAGAGGCCGAAAGGGCAGACAAAAGACAAGUCAACUAAUUAAUUAAAUAACUGAAAGUAGAAACACUCUAUGUAGGUAAGAUAUGGGGACUGAAGUAGAGAUUAACAGGAGGUGGCAGGCUGGUAAGAUCUCUUGUCAGAAGGUAGUAUUUUAGUUGCAACCUGGAGGAUGGAAGGGCUACCAGGCAAAAAGGUGUGUAACCUGUUCAAGAGGCUGAAGGCUUGCAUAGCAGGAGGCAGGGCUGAGAAGGAGAGAAGCAGGAAAUAAGUUGGAGGGUCCACAGGAACCUAAUAAGCAGGCCCUCACAAGCCACAAGGAGGUAAGCAAAAGAGAGCAGCAGUGGAUGACGCUGCCUUGCCCAUGUCUACUUAAUAAACACUCAGACUUGAUGCCUUCAAAGCAGAAAUCCUGAUGUCCACUCUCUUGCUCUCCCCGUCUGCCUCUCCUCCUACCUUUCCCAUCUCAUAAAUGGCAGUUUCAUUUUUCAAGUGACUCAGGCCCCAAACCUUGAGAUCCCUUUUGCCUCCAUGCCUAAUCCAUCAGGGAAUCCUACUGGCUCUGCCUCCCAAAUGUACCCUGAAUUGGACCACCUUUCACCACCUCAGGGCUAUUAUCCUUGUCCAAGAUGCUAGCAUCUCUUAUCUGGACUUUUGGAGUAGCCUCUUCACUGGCCAUGCUGCUUCCACUCUUUAUCCUGAAUCCUUUGCUCUACACAACAGUCAAAGAGAUCUCUCAAAACACAUAGUCAGACCAUUGUCUACUCCAAACCUAUGACGGCUUUACACCCCACUCACCAUAAAACCAAGGUCGGUACCUGGGCCUUCAAGUCCUCCAUGGUCUGGCCCUUGGGCAGCUUUCUUAUCUCAUCUUUGUUUCUCCUCCCCUUGCUCACUCAGCUGCAACCCUGUGUACCUUCUUGAUGUUUUUGUUUGUUUAUUUUUGUUUUGUUUUGUUUUUCGAAACAGGGUCUCACUCUGUCACCCAGGCUGGAAUGCAGUGGCACAUUCAUGGCUCAUUGCAGUCUUAACCUCCUGGACUCAAACAAUCCUCCAAUCUCAGCCUCCUGAGUAGCUGGACUACAGGUGAGUGCCACCAUACCCGGCUAAUUUUUUGUAUUUUUGUAGAGACAGGGUUUUGCCACAUUGCUCAGGCUUGUCUUGAACUCCUAGGCUCAAGCAAUCCAUCCACCUUGGCCUCCCAAAGUGCUGAGAUUACAGGUGUGAGCCACUGUGCCCAGCCCUUCUUGAUGUUUUUAAACAUGCCAAGUGGCAUGGUUUUGUGGCGUGGUCUUUGCAUUUGCUGUUUUCUCUCCCUGAACCCAUUUUCCUCAGUUAACUGUUUCUUGUGGUUUGCUCUCUUUCAUUUGGCUCUUUUAUUCAUGGUCAUGUUAUUGGCGUGCAAAUCUCUAGAAACACCUUUCAUCAUUUUAAUCUCCACACCUGUUUAUUUUUCUUCAUGACACGAAUCGUCACCUGACAUAUUUUAUGCUUAUUUUUUCUGGGCCAUAGGUUGGCAAACUUGUCUUAUAAAGGGCCAGAUGGUAAAUAUUUUAGGCUUUGCAGGCCAUACGGUUGCCGUCACAACUACUAACUCUACCAUUGUGGUGUAAAACCAGCCAUAGACAGUAAGUAAAAUAAAUGAGCAUGGCUGUGUUCCAAUAAAACUUUAUUUACAAAAGUAGGUGGCAAGAUGGAUUUGACCUAUAGGCCAUAAUCUGCCAACCCCUAGUUUAAGCAUUUGCUGUCCACUUCCUAAAAUGCCAGCUCCAGGAGAGUAAGGAUUUUGUCUUUUUUGUUCAAUACUCUCUGGAGCAACUACUAAUGUGCCUGGCACAUGGUAGGCAAUCCAUAAAUAUUUAUUGAAUUAAUUAAUUGAUUAAAGAAUAAGCUCUUGGGAGACCUUGAUUAUAAGGGCUUGGCUAAGGAGUUUGGAUUUUCUUCUUUAUAGAAGUUUGAAAAGAGUCUUCGCUAGUUUUAACAAUGUUCAUGACUGCUGAUUGACAGCUCUUAUCUGCAGUCUGCAAUUCUCAGAAUGAAGACAUUUUGAGACAAAUAACAGCCGCUUGCUCGUCUCACUGUUUACUCCUCUUGUAAGAGCACUGUAUGAUGCACAUCACACAUUGAGUUGGAUGUGUGAUGAUGCAUCAGACUGCUGCCAACAAAAACACAUCGAAAUAAAAUAAUCAUCUCUGCAGAGGCCCGGGAAUGACACUCCAGACAUUCCAUGGAAAUCAAGGAGGCUGCUGCAGUUCUGCAGGAGACAGGAUCGAGGACCCAUCAUAAUGCUGGGUGUGGGGAAGCACACAGGUCAGGGCAGGAUUAAAUGAGUGGCAAGACUGAAAGAGUUGUAAGGAGACAGGUUAGCUUGGGCUGGCUGGAGGGAGUAGGUGGAGACAGAUAAAAGCAUGAGUCAUUUUCUGGGACUUGGUGAGCCAAGGUGUGGGAUUGGCCAAGAGUGGGAUGUGCUCCUGAAUUCUGAAGAACCCAGUUAGAGAAAGUAUUUUCCUUGAGGAGAGGUAGGUUGGAUAUGCAAGUCUGGACUGUGGACAGCCUCGAAAGCCAGUUUGGGGCCAGGUGUGGGUGGUGGCUUACGCCUGUAAUCUCAGCUCUUUGGGAAGGUAAGCCAGGAGGAUCACUUGAGCCCAGGAGUUCGAGAGUAGCCUAGGCAAUGUUCCCCUCUAAUUACAAUGAUUACUUUUUAUCUUAGCACUGGGCUGCCUAGAACUGAAUCACAGCUCUGCCACUCGCUAGCUCUGUGGCCUUUGACAAGUCCCUUAGCCUUCUUGGGCCUCUGUUCCUCAUUAGCAAAAUGGAGGAUAACAAUAAUACUUUUCUCGUAAGGUCACUGUAAGGAUUUAAUAUAUUAAAAUAUGUGAUAUAUUUAAAACACUUCCUGGAAUAUAGUGAGCUCUAUAUAAGCAAUGGCUAUUAUCAUCAUUAUCAAUUUUACUGUUACUACUAUGUUUAUGCUAUGUGUGCCCAUAUCUUAUCUGCUAUAAUAGAUUUGAGCCUUUGAAGGCAAGAACUGUACCUGAUUCAUUUUUCAUUUUCCCCAGUGAGUAGUAAAAUGCAUUCACAUAGUAUGUGCUCAAUAAGUAUUUGUGAAGUUAAUAAAUAAAUGAUCAAAUUAAUGAAUGAAUGUAAUCUUUGGAAUGGGAUUUAACUAUGGUGCUGCAAAUAAAGUAUUAUUUGUAUUCAA